UGCGCAUCCGGGGCCUGUGCUCUGCAAUGGGAGAGACCACGACGAUUGGUGUCAGGGUUCACCACAGUUCCAGAGGAGGUUGACCUGACCAUCAGCAGGGCUACUUAGAGGCCUGGUCCUUCUUCACAGCGAGUGGGCUUGGGCCCAACUCUGAAUCCAGCCAUGCAAACACUGCCCAUGAAGCCCUAGCAGCCUGCACAUCUGCUUCUUCCUCCGCUUGGCUCUCAUGGCGUGGAGGUUUCUAAGAAGAUGGUGCUAAUGCCAAUAGCCUGCCUGAGCAUUAAUUCAACCCAUGGAAGAGGGCAGAACUGAGACAGAAAAAAGAAGCCAGAAUCCUGAAACUCACUCUACACCUGGGCUUGAGCAAAUUAUUUUAAUUUAUAUUUAAGCUAUUUUGAUUUGCAUAUCCAAUGCUGUGCUUUGUUGGAGGUGAAGGGCUACCAAGAAAAAACUACUGAGACAUCAAGACAUUGUGAAUGGAGAAUGUUUGGGAGCCUCUGGAUCAAACUGUCCUUGCUUUUGUCUCUGGAUGGACCACCAAAAUCUUUUAAGGUUACUGGUUCUUGGUGAAUCCAGCCACCAGGCCAUGAGGACACUCAAGCAGCCCUGUCAAGAGGUCCUUGUGGAGAGGAAAAGAGGCUUCCCCCCCAAUAACUACCACCAACUUGCCAGUAUGUGUGAACUACAUUGAAAGCAGAUCCUUCCUCCCCAAACUUUCAGAUGACUGCAGCCUUGUGAGAGACUCCAAGCUAAAAGUGUCUAACCAAGUCAUUACCUGAUUUCCAAUCUGCAAAAACUAUGCUAUAUAGUAAAUGAUUGUUUUUAUUUUAAGUCACUAAUUUUUGGAGUUAUUUGGUAUGCAGCAAAUCUAUUGAUAAUUAAUACAAGGUUAUUUUGCAAAUAAUGGACAUGAAUUUCAGAGAGCACCAUGGAUGGGUUUUCAGGAGUGGUGGAAGGAAGAGAGAAGAUGAAAGAAUAGGAUAUGUAAAGAGUUUUAAAAGGAUUAGAGUGUGGGAGAUAAGAGGGAUCUAGUAGGAGGGUUUGUGGUGGCUGACAUAAAUUAGGAUAAAUGAAAAAAUGAGAUAGUUGUCAAGAUAGAUAAUGGUGGUGAGAACACGUGUUUGGUGGUGAAGAAGGAGGGAGUUUCUGAAAAUCUGUCUUCACCUUUGAUUAUGGAGGUGGAAGGGCGAGGGAGGGUGGUCUUGGCCCCUGGGCCAGUACACUCUUGGUCACUGGUCUUACAUGUGCUCUGUGUGGAUCUCUGUUAAUAGUAUGUGUUUAUUUCUCAUUUGAUUUUCAUAUUAUUAUCCUUACUUCACAAGUGAGAAUGUUGAGACCUAAGGAGGUUAAGUAUCUGGUCUGAGGGCACAUAGCCAAGUAAGACAGAGUAAGAAUUUGAAUUUGGGUCUCCUGACUUUAAAUUCUGCCCCAAUUCCAUAUUUUACCUGGAGACAGAAACAUUUUAAAACCAAAGUACUUUAAUUUUCUAAGGGUAGGAUGGAAGUUAGUCAUCUCAGACAUGGAUUUAUGGAGUGUAAUUAUAAAUUCUCUUUAAAAAGCCCACAUGAUACCUCUGCAUAAUGACAUAGAAAAGAAUCCAAUAUGAGAGCCAUUUACAGUUGAUCAGAGUAAUAUCAAGUACCUGGAAGAUGCCAGCAAAUAAAAGAGAUAAGAACCAGAAGUACAAAAUGGAUGUUAAAUUCAUUGUUUUAUUGCCCUUCUCCCCAGUUAGAAUGUAAAUUCUAUGAGGGCAGAACUUUGCCUUGUGCCUGGCACUCAGUAGGUGCUCAAUAAAUAUUAGUGUGUAUUAAAAGAAUGAAGACAUGGGGUUCAGCCAAACGAAAAGUCUUUUGGAUGAAAACAUUCUAAGUAACAUGUUCAAGAUAAGAGAGCGGGUCAGGACAAGUCGGGGGCAGAGUUAUGAGGCUGAAGAAAUUUGUCAUCAGGACUUGUUCCUUGUCUAUCCUGCCUGCCGAUCCAGACUCCAUGGCAGGUUCACGUUCAGAGACAUUUCAUCACAUCAUUCCUGUUGCCGCUGUUCUCCUUUAGGUCCUUAGGAACAUUGAGAAACCAAUAGUUCUUACCUGGCAACAUAUCAGAUCAUCUGGAAACUUAACAAAAUAAAAAAAAUGCAACAAAAAACAGUUUCUGGGUUCUCCUCCCCUACAUGGUCUCAUUUAACUGGCUUGGGGUUGGACCCAGACAUUGGCAGUUUUUAAAAAAAGUCCUCUAGGUGAUUUUACUGUGUAGCUAGGAUUGAAAAGCAAGCAACAACUCAGUAGUAGUAUCUUUCUCAGAGAAAUCUGAACGUUGAGAGAUCUGAGGUUGAUAAGAAAGGAAUGCAGUUCUGACUAGCACAAUUUCAGACAUGAGUGGGUGGGUGGAGGGGCAUCCCCAGAAAUCACACCACCUAGAUCUAGCAUGGCACUUAGAGAGGAGGUACUAAAAUGUCUGCUGAAGGGAUAGAUGAAUUCAUACCAGCUCCUUGCUCUUGCAUAAAGGCUGAUCUCUCUACCUGAAGAGAAGAUUGAGCUAUGGAGACUGCUCUGACAAUGGAACAAUCUGGUAAACAAAAAUUCUAGAUCAGUUGUGGGAG
Non-coding RNA from Delphinapterus leucas (beluga whale), 2596 nucleotides. The record is from RefSeq and is a predicted model, not a curated record. NCBI's taxonomy places the organism in Eukaryota, Metazoa, Chordata, Mammalia, Artiodactyla, Monodontidae.